CGUGCGCGGGAUCGACACGACGGUGCCGUCGGUGCUGAUCGAGAAUGCGCCCGGAUCCGGAGACACGCCGGUGGAAGGCUCGGGCGCGGCGGUGCGGUGUGCCCUCGGGCUUGCGGCCGGUACGCCGUUGAUUCUCUACACGGGAACGUUCGAGGCCUACCAGGGGCUCGACCUGUUGUUC
Molecule: unclassified non-coding RNA, 181 nt
Filed under: fungal sp.
Lineage: Eukaryota; Fungi
Description: partial internal transcribed spacer region
Source: RNAcentral